UAUGUUUUGCUAAGCAGUAAAUUCCUUAUCACCUUUUACAUUAUCACCUGUUUGUGACAAUAACGAGGCACCAACUAUUUCUGAAUCUUUUAUUCAGUCAGAUAAACUAACAUUGCCCCCUAUUCUCCUUGCUGCUGUGGAAAGAAAAGAAAUAGACUUUAGUAUUCCAAAAAGGUCAAAACUAAAGGAGUAUGUUAAGGAUUUUUUUUUUGAUGUCAUGAAGCAACAGUAAGGGUUAUUUCCAAGUACAAGUAACUUCUAUGAAGUAGCAAAUGAGCUUUUCCUAAGGUAUCCUUCUCUAAAACCUCGUCACUGCAAUGGCUCUGAACUUCUUGUGCAUUUGUUGAAGGCAAAAUUUAAGCGAGUUAGGCGUCCUCUUCUAAAUAAUGAGCAAGCUGCACAGUUUAAAAUAAAGUACUCUAGAAUUAAUUCUGGUCGUAAGCAAAAUUCUGUCUUGCUGAAUGAGUCUGUUAAUCUUUGCUCAGCAAAACGUCACUGCCAUCAUUCAAGUGAUAAGAAUGUGGAUGAUGGUAUAACUCAAGAUAUUAUAAAAAGUAUAAAGAAUGUGUGUCAGAAACUGCGCCCAGAUAUAGAAUUUUUGGCUCACCAGAUUAUCUUGUCUAUUGAAACAUUCAAAUAUACAUGCCGAAAUGAAAGAACUUUGGAUGUUCUUAAUAAAUUCCCAGCACUUUACUAUGAAAAAGUUGUAA
Hydra vulgaris (swiftwater hydra) is the source of this 710-nucleotide non-coding RNA. Lineage: Eukaryota; Metazoa; Cnidaria; Hydrozoa; Anthoathecata; Hydridae. The record is from RefSeq and is a predicted model, not a curated record.